This 27-nucleotide small RNA is filed under the name Bombyx mori (domestic silkworm). RNAcentral's name for it is "ovarian small RNA-21214". The record is from RNAcentral. Lineage: Eukaryota; Metazoa; Arthropoda; Insecta; Lepidoptera; Bombycidae.
UACGUUUCGCUUCGAGUGCCGCCAGCC